Molecule: ribosomal RNA, 119 nt
Filed under: Pteropus alecto (black flying fox)
Lineage: Eukaryota; Metazoa; Chordata; Mammalia; Chiroptera; Pteropodidae
Source: RNAcentral
GUCUAUGGUCAUGCCACCCUAAACAAGCCUGAUCCCGUCUGAUCUCAGAAGCUAAGCAGGGUUGGGCCUGGUUAGUACUUGGAUGGGAGACCACCUAGGAAGACCAGGUGCUGUAGGUG